AACAGAUGAAGAGCUUGCUCAGAUUGCUGACGACCGGCGCACGGGUGAGUAACACGUAUGCAACCUACCUUUUACAGAGGGAUAGCCCAGAGAAAUUUGGAUUAAUACCUCAUGAUAUUUUUAACUCGCAUGAGUUUUAAAUUAAAACUUCGGUGGUAAAAGAUGGGCAUGCGUUCUAUUAGUUUGUUGGUGAGGUAACGGCUUACCAAGACUACGAUAGAUAGGGGUUCUGAGAGGAUAGUCCCCCACACUGGUACUGAGACACGGACCAGACUCCUACGGGAGGCAGCAGUGAGGAAUAUUGGUCAAUGGUCGAAAGACUGAACCAGCCAUGUCGCGUGAAGGAUGACGGCCCUAUGGGUUGUAAACUUCUUUUGUAUGGGAAGAAAAGCAGUUACGUGUAACUGUCUGCCGGUACCAUACGAAUAAGGAUCGGCUAACUCCGUGCCAGCAGCCGCGGUAAUACGGAGGAUCCAAGCGUUAUCCGGAUUUAUUGGGUUUAAAGGGUGCGUAGGCGGCUCUAUAAGUCAGUAGUGAAAUCUCGAAGCUCAACUUCGAACGUGCUAUUGAAACUGUAGAGCUUGAGUACAGACGAGGCAGGCGGAAUGUGUUGUGUAGCGGUGAAAUGCUUAGAUAUAACACAGAACACCGAUAGCGAAGGCAGCUUGCCAGACUGUAACUGACGCUGAGGCACGAAAGCGUGGGGAGCGAACAGGAUUAGAUACCCUGGUAGUCCACGCCGUAAACGAUGAUUACUGGUUGUAGGCGAUACAUUGUCUGUGACUGAGCGAAAGUAUUAAGUAAU
RNAcentral lists this ribosomal RNA (805 nucleotides) under uncultured Bacteroidota bacterium. RNAcentral describes it as "bacterial SSU rRNA". It matches the Rfam family "Bacterial small subunit ribosomal RNA", at positions 64 to 868 of the family's 1533-position model. Lineage: Bacteria; Pseudomonadati; Bacteroidota. The record is from RNAcentral.